This is a long non-coding RNA of Orcinus orca (killer whale), 3972 nucleotides long. RefSeq lists it as uncharacterized. The record is from RefSeq and is a predicted model, not a curated record. The transcript is spliced from 2 exons. NCBI's taxonomy places the organism in Eukaryota, Metazoa, Chordata, Mammalia, Artiodactyla, Delphinidae.
GCACGCCGUUCGCCGGCGCCCAGAGCCCCGCCCACCCCGCCCCCGACGCAGCGUGGGAGGCGGGGGCAUCGGGUUGGGUUCCGGGCUCUGAACCGCCGUUCCGUAACCAGCGCUGCCCGUUGGAAGGCUUGGGUGUGUCUCUGCUGCGGGGCUGAAGCUUCACGUGCUGCCUACCUGUCGUGGACUGCAGCGGCAAGCAUCUGGGUCCGCUCUAAGGAGCCUUUCAACUGUCCGACACUGAUGGAGUGUCGAGGGCACCGUCAGGGCCGUCCGCCUGGGAGACACAAAUCGGCUGGACCACGCUGAGGGCACCUGUCGUGGGAUGAAGCCUUCCUACCUGGGCUGUGCGAGUGACAACUGAGCUGGGACGUGGAGGAUGCAUCUGAUUUACCCAAAAAAAGAGUAGCGGGAAGGGUGUUCCAAGCAAAGAACCUCUUGGUCAGAGACCUAGCGAUAAUAGAAAAAGUUGGGCUCAGGGAACUGAAAGUUCAUUAUGGCCGAACAGAGGGUACGGUGUGUGGGGAUGAGGCUGCGGAGGGACCCAGCAGCUGAAUCAUUCAGACCUAAUAAACUCUUAGGAAGUUUGAACUUCGGAAGUUUGAACUUUAGUAUUGAAAGAUUCUAAACUGAAGAACAGCAUUAUCAGAUUCGUGUUUUUAAAAAAUUACUCUGGCUGCAGUGUGGCGAAUGGAUUACAAAGAAGGGAGACUAAGGCAGGGAAACCACAGAGGCUAUUGAUUGCAUUUUGGCAAAAGAUGAUGAUGCCCUCAAGUAAGGAAGAAGCAGUGGAAUUGGAGAGAAGUGGAUGGAUUCUGGAUAAUUUGGAAGCAGGGACUGGUUCACCAGAGCCUGAGCACUUUUCAGUGAUGAACUGAGCAGCCAGACUUCAAGGGGAGAGAAGAGAUGACAGCCUGGGGACUGUGAGCUCUGUGUUCCCUCAGCAUAACACCAUGCUUUUCAUGCAUGGCCCUUCCUCUUUCUCCCUGUUUUUCUUACUUUGCCUUAGACUGGAUGACUUUCUCUUUCAGCCCCAAAUCAUGCCCUAAUGCCCCAGUGUGUGAAUAGAAUCAUAUUUUCCUACUGACUGCUCUCAUGCAGGUGCUAUUUUUUUUUUGGAAGAGGAAGAAGAAGGAGAAGAAGGGAGAAAGGGAGAAGGGGAAAUAAAGAGGAACAGAUGAAAUCAAAAGGAAAGGAAGAAGGCAAACCCCUGGUGUGUUGAGGACAGAGCUUAAAGCCACGGUUUCUUUCAGUGUCUCCUCAAGGCUCUUUAUUCAUUCAAAAAAUAUUUUUGCAACACCGAGUGACACACAUUUCUAAGUUAAUCCUUUGAGUAAAGUGUAAUUUAAUUAGUUGGGGGGAAUGUGGGGUGUGUUUCAGUCACUCUCAGAUAUUUUGAAUUUAUUUUUCAAGUGAAAAAUUAAUAUAUGCCUGUUGUGAAUAAGAAAUCCAAAUACCAAAGUGUAUAAAGUAAAAAGGUAGCCCUCAUCCUCAUUCUCCUUCUCUCCUUAACUCUUUUUUUUUAAAAUAUUGAUUGAUUGAUUUGCCUGUGUUCUGUCUUAGUUGUGGUGCGUGGGCUUCUCUCUAGUUGUGGUGAAUGGGCUCCAGAGCAUAUGGGCUCAGUAGUUGUGAUGUGAGGCUUAGUUGCCCCACGGCAUGUGGGAUCUUAGUUCCCUGACCGGGGAUCGAACCUGCAUCCCCUGCAUUGGAAGGCAGAUUCUUAACCACUGGACCACCAGGGAAGUCCCUCUCCUUAACUCUUUUUUUCAAAAAAAUUAUUUAUUUAUUUAUUUAUGGCUGUGUUGGGUCUUUGUUGCUGCUCACAGGCUUUACUCUAGUUGCAGUGAGCGGGGGCCACUCUUCAUUGCAGUGCGCAGGCUUCUCACUGCGGUGGCUUCUCCUAUUGCAGAGCACGGGCUCCAGUAGUUGUGGCUCGCGGGCGCUAGAGCACAAGCUCAGUAGUUGUGGCGCACAGGCUUAGUUUCACGGCGGUAUGUGGGGUCUUCCCGGACCAGGGCUCGAACCCCUGUCCCCUGCAUUAGCAGGUGGAUGCUUAACCACUGUGCCACCAGGGAAGCCCCCUCUCCUUAACUCUUAAGACCAGUUUGGUGUGUAUUGUUCCAGACCUUUGGGGGAGCACAUGUAAACACACCCCAAAAACAGGAUUGGGCAACAUGUAUUAUCUUGUAAUGUGACCUCUCCCAGUAGUGUUAGACUGGCUUGAUUGCCAGGCCAAGGUGGCACAAAGGAGUCUGAGAAAAUGCUGCGUGUAACUACAAGGUAAUGUCUAUCCCCAUAGGCCUGAGCUCCAUGACUAAGUUGUAUAUGCUGUACAUGUUGAACACUUAUUAAAUGGGAAACCUGUGGGUUUUUUUGUAUUUAAUUAUUCCCUCCUGGUGACUGAGAAUUGAUUUUAAGAUGUUGAAAGUCAGCUCUCUCUCUGGACUCUCUCAGUAUAGCUCCAUGGUUCAUAACCUUUUCCUACCUCAGCACACAUAACAGAUGCUGUGUGCACUUGAUACACACAUAACCUGAAGUGUCCUCUGUACUCAAAAAAGCACUCAGGAAAAGCAUGUCAGAGUGCCAGGAAGUGAAAGGGAUGCUGCCACAGGGAUAACCUUAUAUCUUUAAAAUUACUUUUAUAAGGGACUUCGCUGGCAGUCCAGUGUUCGGGACUCUGCACUUCCACGGCAGGGGGUGUGGGUUAAAUUUCUGGUCAGGGAACUAAGAUCCCGAAGCUGCUCAGUUAAAAACAGAAACAGAAACAAAAACAACAACAAAAAGCAUUCAAUUGAGCACCUGCUCUGUGCCAGGCACUGAACCAGGUGCUGAGGAAACAAAGGUGAACAAGACAAUCUAGUACAGCAUUCUUGAACUUUACUGAGAAGCAGCUAGGAGCUUAUUAAAAUGCAGAGUCUGUUUCAGUAGGUGAGACCAAGGAAUUUGCAUUUUUAACAGAUACCCAUGGUGAUUUCCUCAAGAGUAUGGGAUGGUCUCAUUUUAUUUAUUUAUUUGUUUAUUUAUUUAUUUGGCUGCACCGGGUCUUAGUUGCCGCAUGCGGGACCUUCGUUGAGGCACAUGGGAUCUUUAGUUGCAGCAUGUGCGAGCUAGUUCCCUGACCAGGGAUCGAACCUGGGCCCCCUGCAUUGGGAGCAUGGAGUCUUAGUCACUGGACCACCAGGAAAGUCCCGGGAUGGUCUCAUCUUGAAAAACACUGGUCUCGACACAGAGAAGCCCAAAAAUUACAUUAGGGGUUCAAGAUCAGGGACUAUUUUUAUCCCUGAUAUUUCCUGAAAUAAGCAGCACAUGUGUAUUAUCAUGUGCUGAAGUUAGAGUGACCCUCUGACAAUGACUCAGGAAGAUUUAAAUGCAGAAGAAUGCAGACUUAUAUAAACAAAUUGUCUGUCAAUAUGUAGGAGUUUUCAGAAGAUUCCAAAUAAUUAACAUCCUCACUUGACAAAUAUUGAGUGCCUAGUUUGUCCCAGGUACUGGUGGGCAUUCCCUUCUGUCUAAAUCUCCUCCUAUGCCUUAUAUUCUGCUACUUCUAUUUUUCUGAACCAUUAUUCUAUUUAUUAUUGCCCUUUCCUGUGUCUUCAAGCUCUCUUUUUCUGCUGGAUCCUUCCUUUUAACACAUCUCUUUUGUCUGAAAAGUAAAAAUUCUUUGACCUUGUGUCUCCUCUAGUUAUAAUUAUGUUCUAUUUUCUUCCUCACAACCCCAUCACUUAGGAUGCUUUUGGCUGCAAGUGACAGAAAACUCAAUACACAUUGGCUUAAACCAAAGCAUCUAUUGGCUCAUGUGACUGAAAAGUCCAGAAGCAUGUCUGGCUUUAAGCAACACUUGAUGCAGUAGCUCAAAUGAUGUCUGAAGGAGCCUAGUCCCUUUGUGUUCUUCGCUCUACUUUAAUCCUUGGUGUCCCAUCCCAUUCACCCCUGGCAGUUUUAAGUUCUCUCUUCAUGGUUGCAAAAUAGCUCAAA